GACGAACGCUGGCGGCGUGCUUAACACAUGCAAGUCGAACGGAAAGGCCCUGCUUUUGUGGGGUGCUCGAGUGGCGAACGGGUGAGUAACACGUGAGUAACCUGCCCUUGACUUUGGGAUAACUUCAGGAAACUGGGGCUAAUACCGGAUAGGAGCUCCUGCUGCAUGGUGGGGGUUGGAAAGUUUCGGCGGUUGGGGAUGGACUCGCGGCUUAUCAGCUUGUUGGGGGGGUAGUGGCUUACCAAGGCUUUGGCGGGUAGCCGGCCUGGGAGGGUGACCGGCCACAUUGGGACUGAGAUACGGCCCAGACUCCUACGGGAGGCAGCAGUGGGGAAUAUUGCACAAUGGGCGGAAGCCUGAUGCAGCAACGCCGCGUGCGGGAUGACGGCCUUCGGGUUGUAAACCGCUUUCGCCUGUGACGAAGCGUGAGUGACGGUAAUGGGUAAAGAAGCACCGGCUAACUACGUG
This 468-nucleotide ribosomal RNA is filed under the name uncultured bacterium. RNAcentral's name for it is "partial 16S ribosomal RNA". It matches the Rfam family "Bacterial small subunit ribosomal RNA", at positions 28 to 507 of the family's 1533-position model. The record is from RNAcentral.